This 468-nucleotide ribosomal RNA is filed under the name uncultured bacterium. RNAcentral describes it as "partial 16S ribosomal RNA". It matches the Rfam family "Bacterial small subunit ribosomal RNA", at positions 28 to 507 of the family's 1533-position model. The record is from RNAcentral.
GACGAACGCUGGCGGCGUGCUUAACACAUGCAAGUCGAACGGAAAGGCCCUGCUUUUGUGGGGUGCUCGAGUGGCGAACGGGUGAGUAAAACGUGAGUAACCUGCCCUUGACUUUGGGAUAACUUCAGGAAACUGGGGCUAAUACCGGAUAGGAGCUCCUGCUGCGUGGUGGGGGUUGGAAAGUUUCGGCGGUUGGGGAUGGAAUGGCGGCUUAUCAGCUUGUUGGUGGGGUAGUGGCUUACCAAGGUUUUGACGGGUAGUCGGCCUGAGAGGUGGACCGGCCACAUGGGGACUGAGAGACGGCGCAGACGCCUACGGGAGGCAGCAGUGGGGAAUAUUGCACAGUGAGCCGAAGCCUGAUGCAGCAGCGCCGCGUUCGUGAUGACGUCCUUCUGGGUGUAAACCUCUUUCUCCGGUGACGAAGCGUGAGUGACGGUAAUUAGUAAGGAAGCACCGGCUAACUACGUG